Molecule: ribosomal RNA, 1118 nt
Filed under: Morenoina calamicola
Lineage: Eukaryota; Fungi; Ascomycota; Dothideomycetes; Asterinales; Morenoinaceae
Description: eukaryotic LSU rRNA
Rfam family: Eukaryotic large subunit ribosomal RNA
Source: RNAcentral
AGCGGAGGAAAGAACCACCAGGAUGCCUCAGUACGGCGAGUGAAGCGGCACAGCUCAAAUUUGAAUCUGGCUCUGCCCGAGUGUACUUGUAGAGAUGUCUCGGAGUCGUCCCCGGUCUAGUCUGACAGACGUCGCAGAGGGUGAGAGUCCGUACGCGGCUGGGUGCUCUCCGUGUGAGACUCCUCAACGAGUCGAGUUGUUUGGGAAUGCAGCUCUAAACUGGAGGUAAAUUCCUUCUAAAGCUAAAUACCGGCCAGAGACCGAUAGCGCACAAGUAGAGUGAUCGAAAGAUGAAAAGCACUUUGGAAAGAGAGUCAAAAAGUACGUGAAAUUGUUGAAAGGGAAGCGUUUACAGCCAGACUCGACGGUGGUUGCUCAACCGGUCUUUGCCCGGUGCACUCUUCCACCGACGGGCCAGCGUCAGUUCGGGCGGUCGGAUAAAGGCUUUGGGAAUGUGGCUCCCCCGGGAGUGUUAUAGCCCUUUGCACAAUGCGGCCUGCUCGGACUGAGGACAGCGUUUCACGGACGCUGGCGUAAUGGCUGUCAACGGCCCGUCUUGAAACACGGACCAAGGAGUCUAACAUCUAUGCGAGUGUUUGGGUGUCAAACCCGUACGCGUAAUGAAAGUGAACGGAGGCGGGAGCCCUUACGGGCGCACCGUCGACCGAUCCUGAUGUCUUCGGAAGGAUUUGAGUAAGAGCAUAGCUGUUGGGACCCGAAAGAUGGUGAACUAUGCCUGAAUAGGGUGAAGCCAGAGGAAACUCUGGUGGAGGCUCGCAGCGGUUCUGACGUGCAAAUCGAUCGUCAAAUUUGGGUAUAGGGGCGAAAGACUAAUCGAACCAUGAAACCUACCUCCUAGGUGGUUGAGAGGGCGGCUCCGGCCGCCGUAGUUUGGAAGAGCGACAUUGCCAAAGUGCGGGGACCCUUGCCAAUCCGCGGCUACCACCUGCCCCCGAGAGCUGGGCGGGUCAACGGUAACAGAGCCGCGGAUCAAGCGACCCGCAGCCAGGCCCCGGGUACACAUGUACCCGGGGCUGGGUUCACAGGCCAGACGGUGAUGGGUGCCUCAGGGCACUUAAGAUAUGGUCGAAUCCACCUGAAGUGGGUGACAGAACGAG